GCCACCUCAGAGCCGGCCAGGUAGAAGAUGAUCUCAUAGUUCUUCAACACAUCCACCAGGCGGCCUGGGGAGGAGGAGGAAGAGGAGGGAGAGAUGUAAAACCUCAUGUGGAUUCUGCCAUUUGAAACCUUAAAAAUGUCACUUGCUGUCCCUGGACCUCAAUUGCUUAAGUGAUAUGUGGCUUCUGGGAUGGGGUCUUGCUGUGUUGCCCAGGCUGGUCCUGAACUC
RNAcentral lists this long non-coding RNA (228 nucleotides) under Homo sapiens (human). Its description in RNAcentral is "HSALNT0406032". Lineage: Eukaryota; Metazoa; Chordata; Mammalia; Primates; Hominidae. The record is from RNAcentral.